GGGACACGUGGUAUCCUGUCUGAAUAUGGGGGGACCAUCCUCCAAGGCUAAAUACUCCUGACUGACCGAUAGUGAACCAGUACCGUGAGGGAAAGGCGAAAAGAACCCCGGCGAGGGGAGUGAAAAAGAACCUGAAACCGUGUACGUACAAGCAGUGGGAGCACCUUCGGGUGUGACUGCGUACCUUUUGUAUAAUGGGUCAGCGACUUAUAUUCUGUAGCAAGGUUAACCGUAUAGGGGAGCCGCAGGGAAACCGAGUCUUAACUGGGCGUUAAGUUGCAGGGUAUAGACCCGAAACCCGGUGAUCUAGCCAUGGGCAGGUUGAAGGUUGGGUAACACUAACUGGAGGACCGAACCGACUAAUGUUGAAAAAUUAGCGGAUGACUUGUGGC
This 392-nucleotide ribosomal RNA is filed under the name Klebsiella pneumoniae. Its description in RNAcentral is "partial 23S ribosomal RNA". It matches the Rfam family "Bacterial large subunit ribosomal RNA", at positions 419 to 815 of the family's 2925-position model. Lineage: Bacteria; Pseudomonadati; Pseudomonadota; Gammaproteobacteria; Enterobacterales; Enterobacteriaceae. The record is from RNAcentral.